UGGUGGAGUGAUUUGUCUGGUUAAUUCCGUUAACGAACGAGACCUCAGCCUGCUAAAUAGUUGCGCCAACCUUCUAUUUGGGUGAAGGGUUGGAACGGUGGAGUGGCAAAAUUCGUUUGCUAUUUCAUCUUCCAAUUUGGAUCCUUGAUGAGUUGGUGAAUAUACUUCUUAGAGGGACUAUUAGUAUCUAGCUAAUGGAAGUUUGAGGCAAUAACA
This 216-nucleotide ribosomal RNA is filed under the name uncultured eukaryote. RNAcentral describes it as "partial 18S ribosomal RNA". It matches the Rfam family "Eukaryotic small subunit ribosomal RNA", at positions 1299 to 1458 of the family's 1831-position model. The record is from RNAcentral.